CCUACGGGAGGCUGCAGUGAGGAAUAUUGGUCAAUGGACGCGAGCCUGAACCAGCCAAGUAGCGUGAAGGAUGACUGCCCUAUGGGUUGUAAACUUCUUUUAUAUGGGAAUAAAAUGUUCCACGUGUGGGAUUUUGUAUGUACCUUAUGAAUAAGGAUCGGCUAACUCCGUGCCAGCAGCCGCGGUAAUACGGAGGAUCCGAGCGUUAUCCGGAUUUAUUGGGUUUAAAGGGAGCGUAGGUGGAUUGUUAAGUCAGUUGUGAAAGUUUGCGGCUCAACCGUAAAAUUGCAGUUGAAACUGGCAGUCUUGAGUACAGUAGAGGUGGGCGGAAUUCGUGGUGUAGCGGUGAAAUGCUUAGAUAUCACGAAGAACUCCGAUUGCGAAGGCAGCUCACUGGACUGCAACUGACACUGAGGCUCGAAAGUGUGGGUAUCAAACAGGAUUAGAUACCCUGGUAGUC
This 460-nucleotide ribosomal RNA is filed under the name uncultured bacterium. RNAcentral describes it as "partial 16S ribosomal RNA". It matches the Rfam family "Bacterial small subunit ribosomal RNA", at positions 338 to 795 of the family's 1533-position model. The record is from RNAcentral.